AAAACAGGUGGCGCAAACGUAGCAUUGGAGAAAAAAUGUUGUGGCGCAAAAGGACACAUUUUUGGCGCAAACGGAUCUCUCCCAUUAGAUAUAAAUAAAUAAAUACAUUUUAUCUGCUUUAAUAUUUUAAUACAUUUAGGAUACUGAUUUAUCACAGUUUUAAGACUGGAGUAUUGACAAAACAAAUGGUUCAAAACAGGAGCUAAAUGUACAUAAAUAUGUCCACAGAUUGAUGUUUCCACUGAACCAAGAAUAUGCAACAAUUUAAAAUUAUAUCUACAAUAAUUAAAGUUUAAAAAUGUCCUAUUUCUGAAAUUAAAAAUAAAUAGAUAUAUAGCAUUAAUUUCAAAUAUAAAAAAAAAAUUCUCAGCUUUUUUCAGAUUUGUUUUGGAAC
RNAcentral lists this long non-coding RNA (394 nucleotides) under Mytilus galloprovincialis (Mediterranean mussel). Lineage: Eukaryota; Metazoa; Mollusca; Bivalvia; Mytilida; Mytilidae. The record is from RNAcentral.